AGAGUUUGAUCAUGGCUCAGGACGAACGCUGGCGGCGUGCCUAACACAUGCAAGUCGAACGAGUCCGGUCCUUCGGGACCGAGGCGAGUGGCGGACGGGUGAGUAACACGUGAGCAAUCUAUCCUGUUGCGGGGGACAACGAGGGGAAACCUUCGCUAAUACCGCAUGGUCAAGAGAGUCGAUGACUCUUUUGGGAAACGUGGCCUCUUUACAAUGCUACGGCGACGGGAGGAGCUCGCGGGCUAUCAGCUAGUUGGUGAGGUAACGGCUCACCAAGGCGACGACGGCUACGGGGUCUGAGAGGACGACCCCGCACAUUGGAACUGAGACACGGUCCAGACUCCUACGGGAGGCAGCAGUGGGGAAUAUUGGGCAAUGGCCGAAAGGCUGACCCAGCGACGCCGCGUGUGGGAGGAAGCCCUUCGGGGUGUAAACCACUGUCAGGAGGGACGAAAGAGCGGGGAGUGAAUAAUUCUCCGCAGUGACGGUACCUUCAAAGGAAGCACCGGCUAACUCUGUGCCAGCAGCCGCGGUAAUACAGAGGGUGCAAGCGUUGUUCGGAAUUACUGGGCGUAAAGCGCGCGCAGGCGGGUCCUGUAAGUCGGAAGUGAAAUUUCGGAGCUCAACUCCGAAGCUGCUUCUGAUACUGCGGAUCUAGGGACUGGUAGAGGCUGGUGGAAUUGCAGGUGUAGCGGUGGAAUGCGUAGAGAUCUGCAAGAACACCCGUGGCGAAGGCGGCCAGCUGGGCCAGGUCCGACGCUGAGGCGCGAAAGCGUGGGGAGCAAACAGGAUUAGAUACCCCAGUAGUCC
Molecule: ribosomal RNA, 810 nt
Filed under: uncultured soil bacterium
Lineage: Bacteria
Description: bacterial SSU rRNA
Rfam family: Bacterial small subunit ribosomal RNA
Source: RNAcentral